UACGAAGGGGGCUAGCGUUGCUCGGAAUCACUGAGCGUAAAGGGUGCGUAGGCGGGUUUUUAAGUCAGGGGUGAAAUCCUGGAGCUCAACUCCAGAACUGCCUUUGAUACUGAAGAUCUUGAGUCCGGGAGAGGUGAGUGGAACUGCGAGUGUAGAGGUGAAAUUCGUAGAUAUUCGCAAGAACACCAGUGGCGAAGGCGGCUCACUGGCCCGGUACUGACGCUGAGGCACGAAAGCGUGGGGAGCAAACAGG
RNAcentral lists this ribosomal RNA (253 nucleotides) under uncultured bacterium. RNAcentral's name for it is "partial 16S ribosomal RNA". It matches the Rfam family "Bacterial small subunit ribosomal RNA", at positions 524 to 776 of the family's 1533-position model. The record is from RNAcentral.